CCCUGCCCUUUGUACACACCGCCCGUCGCUACUACCGAUUGAAUGGCUUAGUGAGGCUUCCGGAUUGGUUUAGAGAAGGGGGCAACUCCAUCUUGGAACCGAGAAGCUAGUCAAACUUGGUCAUUUAGAGGAAG
Molecule: ribosomal RNA, 134 nt
Filed under: uncultured eukaryote
Lineage: Eukaryota
Description: partial small subunit ribosomal RNA
Rfam family: Eukaryotic small subunit ribosomal RNA
Source: RNAcentral